RNAcentral lists this long non-coding RNA (452 nucleotides) under Zonotrichia albicollis (white-throated sparrow). Its description in RNAcentral is "lncRNA (ENSZALG00000004408.1)". Lineage: Eukaryota; Metazoa; Chordata; Aves; Passeriformes; Passerellidae. The record is from RNAcentral.
AAAGACUGCCAGGUUUUUCAUGCUUACCCACUAUUCCAUAAACCUAUGAGAAAACAGGUUACCAGGCUUUUUUGGGGUUUCUAUGGCCAACAAAAGAAUUCCAUCACCCUGAGAUGCUCACUAUCAAAUAUUUGAGUGUGGCAGCCAUAAAAUGUCGAUGAAUUCCAGAUAGUUUUAUGCUCCUGGCUGUUGUUGUUACCGUUUACCAAGGAUCAACAACAGCUACAUGUACUUGGCUUGGGCAAGCAUCCAGUACAGUGAAUGAGUGAAGUCUGAGUUGCAGCACCUGCAGACUGAGAAAUAUUGGUUUCUUCAGAUAUUUAUAAACUGGGACAGAUCCAGACACGAGACUUCAGCAUACAGAAAAUCCGGAUGAAAGGAAAAACAAAAUGAGCAGUAUUUUUGUUUAGUAAUAAGGAUUUGAAUAAAGAGCACAGAAUUAAGAAUAUGCA